This 2787-nucleotide ribosomal RNA is filed under the name Escherichia coli. RNAcentral's name for it is "bacterial LSU rRNA". It matches the Rfam family "Bacterial large subunit ribosomal RNA". The record is from RNAcentral. Lineage: Bacteria; Pseudomonadati; Pseudomonadota; Gammaproteobacteria; Enterobacterales; Enterobacteriaceae.
AGCGUACACGGUGGAUGCCCUGGCAGUCAGAGGCGAUGAAGGACGUGCUAAUCUGCGAUAAGCGUCGGUAAGGUGAUAUGAACCGUUAUAACCGGCGAUUUCCGAAUGGGGAAACCCAGUGUGUUUCGACACACUAUCAUUAACUGAAUCCAUAGGUUAAUGAGGCGAACCGGGGGAACUGAAACAUCUAAGUACCCCGAGGAAAAGAAAUCAACCGAGAUUCCCCCAGUAGCGGCGAGCGAACGGGGAGCAGCCCAGAGCCUGAAUCAGUGUGUGUGUUAGUGGAAGCGUCUGGAAAGGCGCGCGAUACAGGGUGACAGCCCCGUACACAAAAAUGCACAUGCUGUGAGCUCGAUGAGUAGGGCGGGACACGUGGUAUCCUGUCUGAAUAUGGGGGGACCAUCCUCCAAGGCUAAAUACUCCUGACUGACCGAUAGUGAACCAGUACCGUGAGGGAAAGGCGAAAAGAACCCCGGCGAGGGGAGUGAAAAAGAACCUGAAACCGUGUACGUACAAGCAGUGGGAGCACGCUUAGGCGUGUGACUGCGUACCUUUUGUAUAAUGGGUCAGCGACUUAUAUUCUGUAGCAAGGUUAACCGAAUAGGGGAGCCGAAGGGAAACCGAGUCUUAACUGGGCGUUAAGUUGCAGGGUAUAGACCCGAAACCCGGUGAUCUAGCCAUGGGCAGGUUGAAGGUUGGGUAACACUAACUGGAGGACCGAACCGACUAAUGUUGAAAAAUUAGCGGAUGACUUGUGGCUGGGGGUGAAAGGCCAAUCAAACCGGGAGAUAGCUGGUUCUCCCCGAAAGCUAUUUAGGUAGCGCCUCGUGAAUUCAUCUCCGGGGGUAGAGCACUGUUUCGGCAAGGGGGUCAUCCCGACUUACCAACCCGAUGCAAACUGCGAAUACCGGAGAAUGUUAUCACGGGAGACACACGGCGGGUGCUAACGUCCGUCGUGAAGAGGGAAACAACCCAGACCGCCAGCUAAGGUCCCAAAGUCAUGGUUAAGUGGGAAACGAUGUGGGAAGGCCCAGACAGCCAGGAUGUUGGCUUAGAAGCAGCCAUCAUUUAAAGAAAGCGUAAUAGCUCACUGGUCGAGUCGGCCUGCGCGGAAGAUGUAACGGGGCUAAACCAUGCACCGAAGCUGCGGCAGCGACGCUUAUGCGUUGUUGGGUAGGGGAGCGUUCUGUAAGCCUGUGAAGGUGUGCUGUGAGGCAUGCUGGAGGUAUCAGAAGUGCGAAUGCUGACAUAAGUAACGAUAAAGCGGGUGAAAAGCCCGCUCGCCGGAAGACCAAGGGUUCCUGUCCAACGUUAAUCGGGGCAGGGUGAGUCGACCCCUAAGGCGAGGCCGAAAGGCGUAGUCGAUGGGAAACAGGUUAAUAUUCCUGUACUUGGUGUUACUGCGAAGGGGGGACGGAGAAGGCUAUGUUGGCCGGGCGACGGUUGUCCCGGUUUAAGCGUGUAGGCUGGUUUUCCAGGCAAAUCCGGAAAAUCAAGGCUGAGGCGUGAUGACGAGGCACUACGGUGCUGAAGCAACAAAUGCCCUGCUUCCAGGAAAAGCCUCUAAGCAUCAGGUAACAUCAAAUCGUACCCCAAACCGACACAGGUGGUCAGGUAGAGAAUACCAAGGCGCUUGAGAGAACUCGGGUGAAGGAACUAGGCAAAAUGGUGCCGUAACUUCGGGAGAAGGCACGCUGAUAUGUAGGUGAAGUCCCUCGCGGAUGGAGCUGAAAUCAGUCGAAGAUACCAGCUGGCUGCAACUGUUUAUUAAAAACACAGCACUGUGCAAACACGAAAGUGGACGUAUACGGUGUGACGCCUGCCCGGUGCCGGAAGGUUAAUUGAUGGGGUCAGCGCAAGCGAAGCUCUUGAUCGAAGCCCCGGUAAACGGCGGCCGUAACUAUAACGGUCCUAAGGUAGCGAAAUUCCUUGUCGGGUAAGUUCCGACCUGCACGAAUGGCGUAAUGAUGGCCAGGCUGUCUCCACCCGAGACUCAGUGAAAUUGAACUCGCUGUGAAGAUGCAGUGUACCCGCGGCAAGACGGAAAGACCCCGUGAACCUUUACUAUAGCUUGACACUGAACAUUGAGCCUUGAUGUGUAGGAUAGGUGGGAGGCUUUGAAGUGUGGACGCCAGUCUGCAUGGAGCCGACCUUGAAAUACCACCCUUUAAUGUUUGAUGUUCUAACGUUGACCCGUGAUCCGGGUUGCGGACAGUGUCUGGUGGGUAGUUUGACUGGGGCGGUCUCCUCCUAAAGAGUAACGGAGGAGCACGAAGGUUGGCUAAUCCUGGUCGGACAUCAGGAGGUUAGUGCAAUGGCAUAAGCCAGCUUGACUGCGAGCGUGACGGCGCGAGCAGGUGCGAAAGCAGGUCAUAGUGAUCCGGUGGUUCUGAAUGGAAGGGCCAUCGCUCAACGGAUAAAAGGUACUCCGGGGAUAACAGGCUGAUACCGCCCAAGAGUUCAUAUCGACGGCGGUGUUUGGCACCUCGAUGUCGGCUCAUCACAUCCUGGGGCUGAAGUAGGUCCCAAGGGUAUGGCUGUUCGCCAUUUAAAGUGGUACGCGAGCUGGGUUUAGAACGUCGUGAGACAGUUCGGUCCCUAUCUGCCGUGGGCGCUGGAGAAUUGAGGGGGGCUGCUCCUAGUACGAGAGGACCGGAGUGGACGCAUCACUGGUGUUCGGGUUGUCAUGCCAAUGGCACUGCCCGGUAGCUAAAUGCGGAAGAGAUAAGUGCUGAAAGCAUCUAAGCACGAAACUUGCCCCGAGAUGAGUUCUCCCUGACUCCUUGA